Molecule: non-coding RNA, 395 nt
Organism: Xanthomarina gelatinilytica
Lineage: Bacteria; Pseudomonadati; Bacteroidota; Flavobacteriia; Flavobacteriales; Flavobacteriaceae
Source: Rfam
GGGGUCGACUGGUUUUGACAGCGAGAUUAAUGAAAUGGUAAGCACGUCGUGUAAUGACUUUGAAACACGUAAAAGGCUAGGUCAAACAUUUAAACGGCGAGAAUAACUACGCUUUAGCUGCCUAAUCUGAAUUACAGUAGGAUUGGCCUAGGUACACAAGGUGUACAAGCUAAAUGUCUCCAGAAAGCCUUGGUUAGUGGCGUUCUAUUUAGAGGCAUCGUAAAAAUUAACCAAGAUAGUGCAGUGCUUUGAUGCACUUUCGAGAUUAAAAAGCUAAGUUGUAAGUAGGUUGUCUGUAACCAGCUUACAAUCGAAAAAACAAGAACAGAAUAAACGUGUAGAAAGCCCUUUGGUUACUUGUUUGGACGAGAGUUCGAUUCUCUCCGACUCCACAA